AGAGUUUGAUCAUGGCUCAGAACGAACGCUGGCGGCGUGGCUAAGGCAUGCAAGUCGAACGGGCAAUUUGAUUUCGGUUGAAUUGCUAGUGGCGAACGGGUGAGUAAUGGAUGAAUAACGUACCCCGGACUCAGGGAUAGCGGCGAGACUUCGGUCUCUUUGCGAAAGUGUCGGUAAUACCUGAUGAACUCGUAGUGUCAUAUGACACAUCGAGCAAAGGUCCGCCGGUCUGGGAGCGGUUCAUCUCCUAUCAGCUUGUUGGUGAGGUAAAGGCUCACCAAGGCUUCGACGGGUAGCGGGCGUGAGAGCGCGACCCGCCACAUCGGGACUGAGACACGGCCCGGACACCUACGGGUGGCUGCAGCAACGAAUAUUCCGCAAUGGACGAAAGUCUGACGGAGCGACGCCGCGUGGUGGAGGAAGUCCUUCGGGAUGUAAACACCUGUCAGGGGCAAGGAAAUUUGACCAGCCCCAGAGGAAGCACCGGCUAACUCCGUGCCAGCAGCCGCGGUAAUACGGAGGGUGCAAGCGUUGUUCGGAAUCACUGGGCUUAAAGCGCGUGUAGGCGGAAUGGUAAGUGUCUUGUGAAAGCCCUCGGCUCAACCGGGGAACUGCUGGGCAAACUAUCAUUCUUGAGGUAGGUAGAGGCAACUGGAACUAUGGGUGGAGCGGUGAAAUGCGUAGAUAUCCAUGGGAACGCCGGUGGCGAAAGCGGGUUGCUGGGCCUAUUCUGACGCUGAGACGCGAAAGCGUGGGGAGCAAACAGGAUUAGAUACCCUAGUAGUCC
This 787-nucleotide ribosomal RNA is filed under the name uncultured bacterium. RNAcentral describes it as "bacterial SSU rRNA". It matches the Rfam family "Bacterial small subunit ribosomal RNA", at positions 8 to 796 of the family's 1533-position model. The record is from RNAcentral.